This 440-nucleotide ribosomal RNA is filed under the name uncultured bacterium. RNAcentral describes it as "bacterial SSU rRNA". It matches the Rfam family "Bacterial small subunit ribosomal RNA", at positions 338 to 795 of the family's 1533-position model. The record is from RNAcentral.
CCUACGGGAGGCACCAGUGGGGAAUAUUGGACAAUGGGCGAAAGCCUGAUCCAGCAAUGCCGCGUGAGUGAUGAAGGCCUUAGGGUUGUAAAGCUCUUUUACCCGGGAUGAUAAUGACAGUACCGGGAGAAUAAGCCCCGGCUAACUCCGUGCCAGCAGCCGCGGUAAUACGGAGGGGGCUAGCGUUGUUCGGAAUUACUGGGCGUAAAGCGCACGUAGGCGGCUUUGUAAGUUAGAGGUGAAAGCCCGGGGCUCAACUCCAGAAUUGCCUUUAAGACUGCAUCGCUAGAACGUCGGAGAGGUGAGUGGAAUUCCGAGUGUAGAGGUGAAAUUCGUAGAUAUUCGGAAGAACACCAGUGGCGAAGGCGACUCACUGGACGACUGUUGACGCUGAGGUGCGAAAGCGUGGGGAGCAAACAGGAUUAGAUACCCCUGUAGUC